This 278-nucleotide ribosomal RNA is filed under the name uncultured bacterium. RNAcentral describes it as "partial 16S ribosomal RNA". It matches the Rfam family "Bacterial small subunit ribosomal RNA", at positions 74 to 354 of the family's 1533-position model. The record is from RNAcentral.
CCUGCACCUGCCGGCGACCGGCGCACGGGUGAGUAACACGUAUGGAACCUGCCCGCCACAGGGGGAUAACCCGGGGAAACCCGGCCUAAUACCCCAUGCCGCCCGGACCGGGCAUCUGGUCCGGGCGAAAGGAGGAAUCCGGUGGCGGCUGGGCAUGCGGCGCAUUAGCUUGACGGCGGGGUAACGGCCCACCGUGGCGACGAUGCGUAGGGGUUCUGAGAGGAAGGUCCCCCACACUGGUACUGAGACACGGACCAGACUCCUACGGGAGGCAGCAG